This 401-nucleotide ribosomal RNA is filed under the name uncultured Candidatus Saccharibacteria bacterium. RNAcentral describes it as "bacterial SSU rRNA". It matches the Rfam family "Bacterial small subunit ribosomal RNA", at positions 358 to 774 of the family's 1533-position model. The record is from RNAcentral. Lineage: Bacteria; Candidatus Saccharimonadota.
GGAAUCUUUCACAAUGGGCGAAAGCCUGAUGGAGCAACGCCGCGUGCAGGAUGAAGGCCUUCGGGUUGUAAACUGCUUUUAUAUCCGAGAAAUAUGAUGGUAAGAUAUGAAUAAGGAUCGGCUAACUACGUGCCAGCAGCCGCGGUCAUACGUAGGAUCCGAGCAUUAUCCGGAGUGACUGGGUGUAAAGAGUUGCGUAGGUGGCAUAGUAAGUAGGCAGUGAAAUCUGGUGGCUCAACCAUUCAGACUAUUGCCUAAACUGCUAAGCUCGAGACUGUUAGGGGUAGCUGGAAUUUCUAGUGUAGGAGUGAAAUCCGUAGAUAUUAGAAAGAACACCGAUAGCGUAGGCAGGCUACUGGGACAGUUCUGACACUAAGGCACGAAAGCGUAGGUAGCAAACG